GGUUAAGCGACUAAGCGUACACGGUGGAUGCCCUGGCAGUCAGAGGCGAUGAAGGACGUGCUAAUCUGCGAUAAGCGUCGGUAAGGUGAUAUGAACCGUUAUAACCGGCGAUUUCCGAAUGGGGAAACCCAGUGUGUUUCGACACACUAUCAUUAACUGAAUCCAUAGGUUAAUGAGGCGAACCGGGGGAACUGAAACAUCUAAGUAUCCCGAGGAAAAGAAAUCAACCGAGAUUCCCCCAGUAGCGGCGAGCGAACGGGGAGCAGCCCAGAGCCUGAAUCAGUGUGUGUGUUAGUGGAAGCGUCUGGAAAGGCGCGCGAUACAGGGUGACAGCCCCGUACACAAAAAUGCACAUGCUGUGAGCUCGAUGAGUAGGGCGGGACACGUGGUAUCCUGUCUGAAUAUGGGGGACCAUCCUCCAAGGCUAAAUACUCCUGACUGACCGAUAGUGAACCAGUACCGUGAGGGAAAGGCGAAAAGAACCCCGGCGAGGGGAGUGAAAAAGAACCUGAAACCGUGUACGUACAAGCAGUGGGAGCACAGAGCAAUCUGUGUGACUGCGUACCUUUUGUAUAAUGGGUCAGCGACUUAUAUUCUGUAGCAAGGUUAACCGAAUAGGGGAGCCGAAGGGAAACCGAGUCUUAACUGGGCGUUAAGUUGCAGGGUAUAGACCCGAAACCCGGUGAUCUAGCCAUGGGCAGGUUGAAGGUUGGGUAACACUAACUGGAGGACCGAACCGACUAAUGUUGAAAAAUUAGCGGAUGACUUGUGGCUGGGGGUGAAAGGCCAAUCAAACCGGGAGAUAGCUGGUUCUCCCCGAAAGCUAUUUAGGUAGCGCCUCGUGAAUUCAUCUCCGGGGGUAGAGCACUGUUUCGGCAAGGGGGUCAUCCCGACUUACCAACCCGAUGCAAACUGCGAAUACCGGAGAAUGUUAUCACGGGAGACACACGGCGGGUGCUAACGUCCGUCGUGAAGAGGGAAACAACCCAGACCGCCAGCUAAGGUCCCAAAGUCAUGGUUAAGUGGGAAACGAUGUGGGAAGGCCCAGACAGCCAGGAUGUUGGCUUAGAAGCAGCCAUCAUUUAAAGAAAGCGUAAUAGCUCACUGGUCGAGUCGGCCUGCGCGGAAGAUGUAACGGGGCUAAACCAUGCACCGAAGCUGCGGCAGCGACGCUUAUGCGUUGUUGGGUAGGGGAGCGUUCUGUAAGCCUGUGAAGGUGUGCUGUGAGGCAUGCUGGAGGUAUCAGAAGUGCGAAUGCUGACAUAAGUAACGAUAAAGCGGGUGAAAAGCCCGCUCGCCGGAAGACCAAGGGUUCCUGUCCAACGUUAAUCGGGGCAGGGUGAGUCGACCCCUAAGGCGAGGCCGAAAGGCGUAGUCGAUGGGAAACAGGUUAAUAUUCCUGUACUUGGUGUUACUGCGAAGGGGGACGGAGAAGGCUAUGUUGGUCGGGCGACGGUUGUCCCGGUUUAAGCGUGUAGGCUGGUUUUCCAGGCAAAUCCGGAAAAUCAAGGCUGAGGCGUGAUGACGAGGCACUACGGUGCUGAAGCAACAAAUGCCCUGCUUCCAGGAAAAGCCUCUAAGCAUCAGGUAACAUCAAAUCGUACCCCAAACCGACACAGGUGGUCAGGUAGAGAAUACCAAGGCGCUUGAGAGAACUCGGGUGAAGGAACUAGGCAAAAUGGUGCCGUAACUUCGGGAGAAGGCACGCUGAUAUGUAGGUGAAGUCCCUCGCGGAUGGAGCUGAAAUCAGUCGAAGAUACCAGCUGGCUGCAACUGUUUAUUAAAAACACAGCACUGUGCAAACACGAAAGUGGACGUAUACGGUGUGACGCCUGCCCGGUGCCGGAAGGUUAAUUGAUGGGGUUAGCGGUAACGCGAAGCUCUUGAUCGAAGCCCCGGUAAACGGCGGUACGUAACUAUAACGGUCCUAAGGUAGCGAAAUUCCUUGUCGGGUAAGUUCCGACCUGCACGAAUGGCGUAAUGAUGGCCAGGCUGUCUCCACCCGAGACUCAGUGAAAUUGAACUCGCUGUGAAGAUGCAGUGUACCCGCGGCAAGACGGAAAGACCCCGUGAACCUUUACUAUAGCUUGACACUGAACAUUGAGCCUUGAUGUGUAGGAUAGGUGGGAGGCUUUGAAGUGUGGACGCCAGUCUGCAUGGAGCCGGCCUUGAAAUACCACCCUUUAAUGUUUGAUGUUCUAACGUUGGCCCCUGAUCGGGGUUGCGGACAGUGUCUGGUGGGUAGUUUGACUGGGGCGGUCUCCUCCUAAAGAGUAACGGAGGAGCACGAAGGUUGGCUAAUCCUGGUCGGACAUCAGGAGGUUAGUGCAAUGGCAUAAGCCAGCUUGACUGCGAGCGUGACGGCGCGAGCAGGUGCGAAAGCAGGUCAUAGUGAUCCGGUGGUUCUGAAUGGAAGGGCCAUCGCUCAACGGAUAAAAGGUACUCCGGGGAUAACAGGCUGAUACCGCCCAAGAGUUCAUAUCGACGGCGGUGUUUGGCACCUCGAUGUCGGCUCAUCACAUCCUGGGGCUGAAGUAGGUCCCAAGGGUAUGGCUGUUCGCCAUUUAAAGUGGUACGCGAGCUGGGUUUAGAACGUCGUGAGACAGUUCGGUCCCUAUUUGCCGUGGGCGCUGGAGAACUGAGGGGGCUGCUCCUAGUACGAGAGGACCGGAGUGGACGCAUCACUGGUGUUCGGGUUGUCAUGCCAAUGGCACUGCCCGGUAGCUAAAUGCGGAAGAGAUAAGUGCUGAAAGCAUCUAAGCACGAAACUUGCCCCGAGAUGAGUUCUCCCUGACUCCUUGAGAGUCCUGAAGGAACGUUGAAGACGACGACGUUGAUAGGCCGGGUGUGUAAGCGCAGCGAUGCGUUGAGCUAACCGGUACUAAUGAACCGUGAGGCUUAACCUU
RNAcentral lists this ribosomal RNA (2906 nucleotides) under Escherichia coli. RNAcentral's name for it is "23S ribosomal RNA". It matches the Rfam family "Bacterial large subunit ribosomal RNA". Lineage: Bacteria; Pseudomonadati; Pseudomonadota; Gammaproteobacteria; Enterobacterales; Enterobacteriaceae. The record is from RNAcentral.